This 513-nucleotide ribosomal RNA is filed under the name uncultured bacterium. RNAcentral's name for it is "partial 16S ribosomal RNA". It matches the Rfam family "Bacterial small subunit ribosomal RNA", at positions 28 to 523 of the family's 1533-position model. The record is from RNAcentral.
GACGAACGCUGGCGGCGUGCCUAAUACAUGCAAGUUGAGCGCUGAAGGUUGGUACUUGUACCGACUGGAUGAGCAGCGAACGGGUGAGUAACGCGUGGGGAAUCUGCCUUUGAGCGGGGGACAACAUUUGGAAACGAAUGCUAAUACCGCAUAAAAACUUUAAACACAAGUUUUAAGUUUGAAAGAUGCAAUUGCAUCACUCAAAGAUGAUCCCGCGUUGUAUUAGCUAGUUGGUGAGGUAAAGGCUCACCAAGGCGAUGAUACAUAGCCGACCUGAGAGGGUGAUCGGCCACAUUGGGACUGAGACACGGCCCCAACUCCUACGGGAGGCAGCAGUAGGGAAUCUUCGGCAAUGGACGAAAGUCUGACCGAGCAACGCCGCGUGAGUGAAGAAGGUUUUCGGAUCGUAAAACUCUGUUGGUAGAGAAGAACGUUGGUGAGAGUGGAAAGCUCAUCAAGUGACGGUAACUACCCAGAAAGGGACGGCUAACUACGUGCCAGCAGCAGCCGCCG